UACGUAGGCAGCAAGCGUUGUUCGGAGUUACUGGGCGUAAAGGGUGUGUAGGCGGCUUUUUAAGUUUUGGUGUGAAAUCUCCCGGCUCAACCGGGAGGGUGCGCCGAAUACUGAGAGGCUAGAGUGCGGGAGAGGAAAGUGGAAUUCCUGGUGUAGCGGUGAAAUGCGUAGAUAUCAGGAGGAACACCGGUGGUGUAGACGGCUUUCUGGACCGUAACUGACGCUGAAACACGAAAGCGUGGGUAGCAAACAGG
RNAcentral lists this ribosomal RNA (254 nucleotides) under uncultured bacterium. Its description in RNAcentral is "partial 16S ribosomal RNA". It matches the Rfam family "Bacterial small subunit ribosomal RNA", at positions 524 to 776 of the family's 1533-position model. The record is from RNAcentral.